This 303-nucleotide long non-coding RNA is filed under the name Citrus sinensis (sweet orange). Its description in RNAcentral is "long non-coding RNA (CSIN_LNC004322)". The record is from RNAcentral. Lineage: Eukaryota; Viridiplantae; Streptophyta; Magnoliopsida; Sapindales; Rutaceae.
UUUUAUCUAUUUUAUCCAAUAUCAUGUUACAAAUAUCAAUCCAAUUAACACAAAGAAAAUGUAACAAAGACAUCUAAACAAAUCAACAAUGAAAUGAGAUCAGAUAGCAAAUCUAAUCACAGUAAACGCACAGAGAUACGUGGUUCAGUCUUUUGCAAAACCUACAUCCAUGGGUGAAGCCAUUGCGCAAGCUUUCAUUGAUAAUUCAAAGAUUGAAUUACAGAGCUAUGCUACUGAGACUACAGAGAGCAAGAUUCAUCUUUCUCUUUGUGAUUCUCUUGCUAUAACUCUCUAGAAUGAUCC